This is a long non-coding RNA of Solanum tuberosum (potato), 297 nucleotides long. RefSeq lists it as uncharacterized. The transcript is spliced from 3 exons. The record is from RefSeq and is a predicted model, not a curated record. Lineage: Eukaryota; Viridiplantae; Streptophyta; Magnoliopsida; Solanales; Solanaceae.
GAAAAAAAAAAGAAAAUUGAAGAGACGCAGUCGGAGAACAAGAUUGAAACGACGGCUAAAGUUUGGAAAAGUUUGGAGGCAUUGAGGAAAGGAAAAGCAUUGGAGAACUAGCUUGCUUGACUUCGAAUCUUCGGUGGAGCGAGUGUAUCAGUGACUUCGACUUGCCCUCAGCUCUAGCCAGUCUCCAGCACAUCAGGUUCCAGGGUGAACUAUUCAUUCUAGCUCGUGUUGGAUUCUCUUGGUCAUGGCAUGAUGUCUUUAGUUUUCGGACAUAAACUAUUUAAUUCAUUUAUUUUG